RNAcentral lists this ribosomal RNA (254 nucleotides) under uncultured bacterium. RNAcentral's name for it is "partial 16S ribosomal RNA". It matches the Rfam family "Bacterial small subunit ribosomal RNA", at positions 524 to 776 of the family's 1533-position model. The record is from RNAcentral.
UACGUAGGGUGCGAGCGUUGUCCGGAAUUAUUGGGCGUAAAGAGCUCGUAGGCGGUCUGUCGCGUCGGUCGUGAAAACUUGGGGCUUAACCCUGAGCUUGCGGUCGAUACGGGCAUGACUGGAGUUCGGCAGGGGAGACUGGAAUUCCUGGUGUAGCGGUGAAAUGCGCAGAUAUCAGGAGGAACACCGGUGGCGAAGGCGGGUCCCUGGGCCGAUACUGACGCUGAGGGGCGAAAGCGUGGGGAGCGAACAGG